RNAcentral lists this long non-coding RNA (10110 nucleotides) under Homo sapiens (human). RNAcentral describes it as "HSALNT0159523". Lineage: Eukaryota; Metazoa; Chordata; Mammalia; Primates; Hominidae. The record is from RNAcentral.
UGUGGAGCAACAGGCAGUUUUAAUGAAUGCCUGAAGGCAGACCUUCAGGCCAUUUCAGGCCGAGGCCUAAAAUGGCAUCAGCCCCAAAUGAGGACGGGCAGGGGUUUUACAGUCUCCCGUAAACAGGAAGUGUUUCAGUCUGUGUAUCUACUGCUACGUGAUACCCGGUAGGCCUCUCUCUGGGUCUUCAGAACAGCUCUCUCCCCGCUUCUGCUAUCUUGCUGACGCACGCUGAUGACGUAAGCCGCCUUGCGCCUUGGGACUGGGCCUGAGAAGGGAGGAGUUAUUCAGGCCUCCGCCAGCUUCUAGGCCCUGGGGAUGGUCUUUCACCUCCCUCUUUCUGAUCUCUUUUUCAUGCUCCUCCUUGCUCCAAAGAAAAGCCGGAUGGCAAAAGAGCCCAGAACCUAUUGGAACUGACAAAAUCAAGUCACGGCGCCUACAAAGAUGAGGGGCAGAUUCUGGCUGCCUUUUAAUUUCGUCCUUCACCUGAUAUCUGUGCCAGAGAAUGAUAAAAAUCAUAAUAAAGGAAAUAAUGGAAGAGGAGACUUAUGUUACUGGGGACAUCUAACAUAAUUAUUUUCCUGAUUCAGUGGCAUGGUUCAGUCUUCCAGGAGUUCUGCUACAGAGAAGAGAGUAACCCCCAUCCAUCAUGGCCAAAGCACCCAGUCAGGCUCCGCUCUGGAUCCAGCCCGACAAAUGCAACCCUUGAAUAGGGUUUGUGCAAGCAAACUGGAUGACGACCGAAGAAACCCUGUCGCUUCUGAGAAGACACCCAAUCCAAGAAUGUGAGUUCUGGAAAUGUCAUUAAAUGUCAGUUAUAUACAUGCUUACGUGUCCAUAUUAGCUAUGCAAUCACCAUCAGCAAGUUCUUUUUCUCAACCAAAAAAAGAAGUAAAUUUCUCUGCUAAUUAAAUAUUUCCUCAGGCCAGCCACAGCAUCCAGCUGAAAUAAGAAUUUUAAUGGGAAAAUACCUUAUCUGUAUUCAGUGUUGACUCCAUGCUAAUUUGAGUGUUUGAGAUGGCUAUUAGGUGCUGUAACAUUAAAUAAUUUACAAAUACUUAAAUAUUUGAACCAUAACUACAGUUUUAAAAUAAGUUUACUCAUCUAAGAGUGAAGAUUCUCUUACAAUCUGCAAGUCUAUAGCUCAACUUUUACAUAUUCAUGUUUUAUAUUCAUUUUCAGGAAAGCAUCAGGUUCAAUACCUAGGAACUCCUGUAGAGGGUGUUGUGGAAUCUUCUUUAAAAGAACAAAACAAGGCAAAACAAAGUUUAAUAGGGUAGAGCAGCCAGGUGUGGUGGGUCAUGCCUGUAAUCUCAGCAAUUUGGGAGGCCAAGGCAGGAUCUCAGCAAUUUGGGAGGCGAAGGCAGGCAGAUCACUUGAGCCUAGGAGUUCAAGACCAGCUUGGGCAACAUAGCAAGACCCUGCCUAUACCAAAAAAAAAAAGUGAACCUAGGAGUAUGAGGCUGCAGUAAGCUGUGGUUGUACCAGUGCACUUUGGGAGGCCAAGGUAGGCGGGUCUUCUGAGAUCGAGAGUUUGAGACCAGCCUGACCAACAUGGAGAAACCCCGUCUCUACUAAAAGUACAAAAUUAGCCGGCAUGGUGGUGCAUGCCUGUAAUCCCAGCUACUCGGGAGGCUGAGGCGGGAGAAUUGCUUGAACUCAGGAGGCAGAGGUUGUGGUGAGCCAAGAUCGCGCCAUUGCACUCCAGCCUGGACAACAAGAGCGAAACUCCAUCACAAACAAACAAACAAUAAACAAAAACCAUAGAGUGAUUUCUGGCCAACAGAGCAAGAAAGAAGUGAACCAAUGAAAACCGGUCCAAGUCUGGGAGUCAAUAUGGAAAAGCUGCCUAAUUAAUGUGGAAGCCCCAGGGAAAUGAUAUACCAUGAAAACCUAACACUACAAAAACUAGUUGUCAGACACAUGUGAGCAGUGAACAGAAUCCUAAUAUGCUGGUUUAACAUUCAAAACUGGAGAGUGUUUGUGUAUCUUCUAAAGACUGUUUGGGGUUUAUUUGUGGAGUUCAGCUGAGUGUCAUCAGAACAAAGAUUAGUGCAAAAAAUCUUUCAGAAAUCAUGCCCAAACAUUUGCAUGCACCUUAAAUAAGAAAUGAAAUAGCAAGAAGAGUAUGUCACAAUAAAGUAUAAAUAGCAAGUGAUAUGUCUCAUCGUACUGAGACAGUUUUAUAAAUGAGGCAAAGGCCUUGUCAAAAAAUAAUGAUGAUUUUCAAAAUUCUGAAACGCAAAGGAGGAAAACUACUUCAUUCAGUUAACAGGAAGCACACAAGAAUCUCCCCAUCAACCAAGAUUUUUUUUUUCUAUAACCCACGCUUUGUAAGACAAUAAUAGCAAAAACUAUAAACUAGAAUUUGUUGAAAGAACAACUUCUAGAAUUUGCCCUUUAUGUGCUGUUUUACCAUUGUCAUGUCUGUCUCUGGUAUGACUUCCUCAUCUAUUAGUAGCCUCCUAAUAAAUUUGAACAAAUGAAUGAAUGAAUAAGAGACAACUAAGCAUGAGGUAUUGCAAGAUGGUAACUCAUCCAGGGAAAAUUAAAACCUGGAGUGGAUCAGAUGGAAAAACAAAAUAAGACACUAGAAAAAAAUCACCAGGAGGGUUUCAAACCAAAAGAUCCCCUGGUUAACCUUCAGCUAAUUAUAAGAUUUAAUUAACUAGAAAAACUCAAUCCUUGUUUAUUCUAUUUAAUUGAGAUUUUACCAUAUUUAAAAUGAUGUUACUCAAGUGUUCUCAUUAAUAUUUAAUGAAAGUGUGAGAGAAUUGGCUAACCAAAUUUACUGUGCUUAGGUAAACUGUAAUUAGGAAGGGUUAGCAGAGCAUCCCAAGGGACCUAUCAAUCACAAAAUGAAGCGAUACAAUUACAGAUGAAUUUCAACAAGGAAACACACAAAACAGUGAUCCUCAAAAAAGAUGGAAUAAAAUUACUUGAAUGUGGUAGUCGGUUCUGAGAAAUGCAAUCAAUCACAUGUCAUUUCAGACAACUCAGAAGGAAUAACCCUACCCAACAGACUUGAACUCUUUGUGUGUGUGUGUGUGUGUGUGUCUGUGUGUGUGAUAGAAUUUCACUCUUGUCGCCCAGGCUGGAGUGCAGUGCGAUCUCGGCUCACUGCAACCUCUGCCUCCCAGGUUCAAGCAAUUCUUCUGCCUCACCCUCCCUAGUAGCUGAGAUUAUAGGUGCCCACCACCACACCCGGCUAAUUUUGUAUUUUUAGUAGAGAAGGGGUUUCACCAUGUUGGCCAGGCUGGUCUCGAACUCCUGACCUCAGGUGAUCUUCCCACCUGGGCCUCCCAAAGUGCUGGGAUUACAGGCAUGAGCCACUGCACCUGGCCCAGACUUGAACUCUUGAUUGCAUGAAAGUGUAUUAAUCUUCUAUCUGCUUAUUCCCAAUUUCCCAGCUGAUAAAAUGCCCCACUGUUAUUUCACUUAAAUUUGGAAUAACCUGCAUCUAGUUAAGUUGGAGCUACUUUGUCUUGUUGCAGAUUUUCUUUUGCUUUGCUGUCUUCAUUCUAACUUGGCAGAGCCCAGGUGCUUUGUCUCUAUUUGCCUGCAAGACCUCUUUUCCAAGACAUGUCAGGUUUCUCUCUAAAGUACCUUCCACCUGGAGGAUAUCUGUUCUUGUUCUUUAAUUCCUGGCCCUAUUUCCUAUUCAUCUGAAAAACUAGGCUUUGUGAGCAGGAUCAUGCAUGGCAAUGAGUUCUAAUGAGUUUUUAAUGUUUCACACUUCAUGAUGAACAUAUAUUUGCAUUUCAGAAAAUGCUUUUAAGGAAUGUUUUUUUUUUUCUGCCCUCACUCCUAACUCAGUUGCCUUUAAGCAAAACCAAAGAGAGCCAUGGCCAGCCUGUUCAAAUGGCUGCAAUCAUUUAAGCCCCUCUCGCUGCACCCUGGCCCCUCUUGCCUCCCUAGCCUGCCCAUGCUUGCCCCUGUCUCAACUUCUACCCCCACUCCAGCUGAAGAGAUUUGCCAUUCUCAGCUUUCACCUUUGGGGAUCCCUCUUGACCAUGGUUAGCAAUUGCUGUGACCAUCCUCACAUCACAGAUUUUUGGGCUUCUGUUUCUUAGGACAAUGCCUGCUCUCCCUGCUAGCCUAUCCCUCAUCCCAGGCCCUCCAACCUCCAGCCACUGCAACUCUAGAGCCACAUCCUAUCCCAUUGACUAACCCAACUGCCAAGCCAAGCCCAAUCCCCAGACCUGGAGCUCAGAGAAAUUAUUAAUCCAAUCAAAGGCACUAAAGUUGGGAUUCUGACUCUGAAGCAGGUACCAAAUUUUGGACAGAGAGGGGCUCCUGAAACCAUACUAUUCCUGCAUUAAGUGUCUGGCACUAGGCAGGGGAUAUGAUGUGAUCUAACAAGGCCAUGCACUGGAAUUAACCUGCGUGAGCUCCACUUGGCUGCCCUCUAAAGGUCAAUGCAUUGUUUGAGCCUAGGGGAGCCAGUCACUGCUACAUCAAUGGCUGCAUCACGGUAUCCUUUUUAGGACUAAACCUGCAUUUUCCUAAUAUUCAGGUCUGUAGAAACUUUGACUGCAAGAAUUUUACAGGAAUGGGUAAAUAUCUGUAAGUACUUAAAAGUAUAUAUGGUAAUAUACAAUAUGAUAGAAGAAAUAAGACCUAAUGUUAGAUAGAUCAGCAGGGUAAUUAUAGUUUACAACCAUCUUUUGUACAAUUCAAAAUAGCUACAAGAGAAAAAGGUGAGUGUUUUUAGCAUAAAGAAAAGACAAAUACUUAAUGGAUAUCCCAAGUAUACUGAUUUGAUAUUUACAAAUUAUACAAAUGUAUUAAAUUGUCAUGUGUACUCCAAAACUAUGUACAUUAUUAUGCAUCAAUUAACAAAAGAUAAAAGUAUGUAUGAAUCAGUAAGUACUUCUAAGGACCUGUAAAUCCAUAUAAGUGCACAUUAGUAUAAGAGAACUAAGGAGAAUUUGAGAUCAGUGUUUACACAGUGCUAGCAUUUUGUUAUCUAAAACACCUCUUUUUCAACUCUAUCAAAGAUUGAAUGCAUUUUUUAAUUCAAGGAAUAUAAUAUUCAGGAUGAUUAUUUUUAUUACAGCUGUGGGCUUUUUCCUUGGGCAUUGAACGCUUCCAUUUAGUUCAACUACUUAUUAUCUUUUCUUCUCCUCUUCUUUUUUUUUUUUGCUUAACUUUCUAUUUCUUUCCCAGUAAUAACAUAUAUUUUCUCAACUUCUUAAAUCUCUUUAUUAGAUACAGUCGAAUGUAAUUUGGAAUUUACGAGUCUUAUCACAUUCUCAUUCUGCUUGAGCAAUUCAAGAUAUAAGAAAAACAGACUGUCUACAUUUCUUCAGAGUUCCUCCAACUAUUGGCUUAAAAUUCCUGAAAUUAAAAUUAUAGUUCUUUGACAUCGCUUCUGUCUAAUCAUUGCUGAUACCUGGAAAACACCAAAUGGCUUACUUACACAGUGUCCCACUCUGAAAUUUCUCACAUAAAGGAUUGUCUUACACAGAAAUACUGACCAUUUUGACAAGGGAAUGGCCCUAGAAUUGGGCCAGAGCUAAAAAUAAGCAGAAUAAACAAUUUUGAUAUUCUUCUUCAAUGGUCAUAAAUCUAGUUAGCAUGUUAUCAUUUACAUAUUAUGAUUUUGUUCAUGAUAGUUGUAGUAGAAUGGCCUAAAGAAAUCAAGAUCUGUUUUAUCUUCUACAUUACUUUAGUUACUGUAAGACUGAUAACUCACAUUGUCGUUUACCAAGUAUUUCCAUUUGUUCCUUGGAAUAAUCCUGUGAAGUGGGUAUUUUUUAUCACUAGUUUCAUAUAAUGAAUAUAUUACUGUUAAUGUCAAUACAUUCUAUUUAUCCAGCUCACUUAUUCUAGUAUUCUCUCUGCAGUGAUUCUUUAAUCUCAUUGAGAAGCCCCCAUGCCCAAUACACGCCUCCUAUCUUCAUACACGCCUCCUAUCUUCAUUUCCCUCCUUCCCCAACUCACACCCUUGAAAACAUUCUUAUCUCUCUUGUUUCUUUUUCUGUUGUCCUUGACUGGCAAAUUUGGAGGCAUGGAUGUACCCAACUCUUUGCCAUUUGGGGCUACCCCCAACUAGCCAAAUACUGCUAGAGAAACUCUCCUGAAUGAUUUCACUCUAAGUUCUAUGAACUUCAAAUGGGCAUUUAAGGAUACCUGGCAGUCCUACUAUGUUUUCCUAAUAAAUUUCAUUUUCCUCUUUCAAAAUUGUUAUUUAUUCUCCCGUCUCCUCCAACCUCCCAUAUCCCCACCUCCACACUCACUCUCUGCUGCUGAUGACCUCACUUCAUACUUUAUUGAAAAAAAUAGAAGCCUGCAGAGGAGCAACACUUUCAUACUGCUCCCACUGUAUCUAAAAAUCUCUAAGUUUCUGUGCCUGUCUUAGUCAGCUUGGGCUGCCAUAACAAAAUACCAUAAAAUGAGUGGCUUAAACAACAGAAAUUUUUCAUCUCAUAUUUUGAAGACUCAAAAUGUUGGCAUCGUUGGUACCUGGUGAGGGCUCUCUUCCUGGCUUGCAGACAGCUGCCUGCUGGCUGGGUCCUCACAUUGUCUUUUCUUGGUGCAUGCAUGAGGGAGAGAGUGCUAGUGUCUCUUCCUCUUCUUAUAAAGACACCAGCCCUAUCAAAUUAAGGGGUAGCUCUAUGACCUCAUUUAAAUAGAAUUAUCUCCCUAAAGACCUUAUCUUCUAAUAUAGUCACAUUUGAGACUGUGGCUUCAACAUGAAUUUUGGGGAGACAGAAUUCAGUCCUUCAGAGUGCCUGUGUUUUUCAUCUUACCAUAUGUUACAACAGAAAAAAAUGUCCCUGCUCUCAUCAAAAAUCAGUAACCCCCAGUAUGUUCUGGCUCCUGCCCGUCUCACUUUCUUAACAUUACUGACCCCCUCAUCUCUUCCUUCUCUUACAUAACUAGGGUUAUCCUUCUCACAAGCACACAAACACGCUCCUCCCUUGACUCCAUAAUCCCUCUCCAUCUCCCAACUCAUUUUUCUACCCCCUGUAAGCACCACUUCUCUAACAAAUUAUCUAAAAUUACUGCUUCCCCUUCCUCAACAAUCUAUUCCCUCAUCAGAAGACUUAAAACUGGCUAAUGUAGCUUCUGGGACUCAGAAAAUGAAAGCCCAAAAUAUGACACUUCAGACUUCAAACUGAGAGCACAUGGAGAGCAGCAAAUGCAGAGAAGGACUUUCCCCAAAGGUCCCUCCCUACCUAAACACAGGAUUCUCCUAAGAUACUCAAUCAUUGUCAAUCGCUUCCCCAGGGUAUCUCAAUGACUGGGAGAAGACUGAAGCCUAUCCCAGGAAAAGAAGACUAGAAUUGAUGACACACCAGGAGUCCAGAUGGGCUUUGUCUCAGACUACCAUCUGUUCUUCAGGCCCAUUCAUCUUCCCUAAAACUCAUUUACUCCUCCUCUAAAUUGUCUGCAUCCCACCCUUCCCCCUCCCUGUGAAGAAGGGUAUAUAAGCUUCUAAAUCCCAUUGGGUCAUUGGACACUCACCUUCCUGGAAUGCACGCAUACACAUAAUAUAUGUGUUAGCCUUUUCUCUCGUUAAGUGAUCUGUUAGUUUAUUUCUCAGACUCAAAUAUCAGACAUGCAGAGUGGAAAGAAAGGGCUCUCUCACCCAACAUGGCUCAUCUCAAGCUCAUCAAAAGCCCCCAUGUUCCAAAUUCAAUGGACGCCUCACUUGUCUUUUUUUUUUUUUUUUUUUUUUUUGAGACAGAAUCCUGCUCUGUCACCCAGGCUGGAGUGCAGUGGCAUGAUAUCGGCUCACUGCAACCUCCACCUCCCAGGUUUAUGCGAUUCUCCUGCCUCAGCCUCCCGAGUAACUGGGAUUACAGGUGCGCCACCGUGCUCAGCUAAUUUUUUUAUUUUUAGUAGAGACAGGGUUUCACCAUGUUGCCCAGGCUGGUCUUGAACUCCUGACCUCAAGUGAUCCACCGGCCUCAGCCUCCCAAAGGGCUGGGAUUACAGAGGUGAGCCACUGUACUGGGCCGCACUUAUCUUACUUGAUCUUUCAAGAACACCUGACCCAGUCAACUGCUCCUCUUCCCUGAAAACCACAUCACACUCUCCUGGUUUUCUUUCUGCAUCCCUGGCUGCUCCCUCUGCCUCUCCUUUGCUGGCUUCUGCUUCUCUUUCAAGCCUCUAAAUGUGGGAAUACCCUAGAACUUGCUCCUAGAUCCCCUUUUCUUCUCCACCUAUCUCCAGAGCUAAGUGAGCUCAUUCUACUCUCUGGCUUUGAGUCCUAUCUCUCUGGCGAUGACACCCAGAUUGAUAUGUGCAGUUCUGACCUCUCCCUUGAGCUCCAGACUCAUUUAUAUGGUCGAAAUGCCCAUCUGACAUUUCCAAUUGGACGUCUAAUAGUCUUGUCAAAUGUAGCAUAUCCAAAACAUAACCUUUGACUUCCCUCUUUUCCAGUCUUCCCCAUCUCUAUGGAUGGUAAUGAACUGCUCAAGCCAAACAUUUAUCAUUCGGAUUCCUGUCCUUCUCUUCUCUCCUAUACCCGGGCUUUUGACGAUUCAGCCGUAAAUCCAUCUACUUCUCUUUAUCGGUACUUCUAUUGCCUCAUUCAAGGCACAUCAGCUCUUGUCUGGAUGGAAGCCAUGGCCCCAUAAGUAGUCUUUCUGCUUCAAUUGCCUGACUGCCACACAUUCUCUAUGCAGCUAUCAGAGUACUCUUUUAAAAACUUAAAUCAUACUUGUCAUACAUGACAUAUUGUCAUGCCCUUGCUCAGAACCCUUCUGAGGCUUCACUUAUUAUUAGAAUAAAACUCAUCCUCACCAAGGCUUGCAUCCUACAACAUAACCUGACUUAGUAGGUCUAUUUCCUCCUUUGCUCUCUGUAUUGGUCCAUUUACAUUGCUGUAAAUAAAUGCCUGAGACUGGGUAGUUCAUCAGGAAAAGAGGUUUAUUUGGCUCACAGUUCUGCAGGCUGUACACAAAGCAUCGUGCCAGCAUCUGCUUCUGGUGAGGGAUUCAGGAAGCUUAUAAUCAUGGCGGGAUGUAAAGGAGAGCCAGCACAUCACAUGGAUAGAGAGAGAGAGAGAGGAGACAGUGCCAGGCUUUUUGAAACAACCAGAUCUUGUGUGAACUCAGAGAAUAAGAACUCACUCAUUACUGCCGAGACAUUCAUGAGGGAUCUGCCCCCAUGACCCAAACACCUCUCACUAGGCCCACUUCUAACACUGAAGCUCACAUUUCAACAUGAGAUUUGGAGGGGACAACCAUCCAAACCCUAUCACCCUCCAUGAUCCAUUCUUUCUGCUUCUCAAAUAUGCCAUGUUUAGGGCUGCUGUUCCUCUGCCUUGAGCGUUCCUGUUAGUGCUUCAGGUCUUAACUCGAAUGUCAACCCCUCAGAGUGACUUUUGCUACUCCCUAUGGAAUGCUCACCUCCCACCCCCGCCAUCAGCAUUUAUUUCGACUUCUUUCCUACCACUUAGCACAGUGAGCUCCAGGAGGGCAGGCUUUUGUCUGGCAUGCUCCCUGCACAUUCUCCAGCACCAAGCACAGACCUGGCACACAAUGAAUGUUCACUGAAAGAAUGAAGUUGAUCUCAGACUCUCCACCCAGCUCCAGGCUGCCAAAAUAAGCCCCUAAUUGCCUUCCCUGCUUCUCCUUUUGUUCCUGCCCCAUCUGUCUCCUAGGGAGAAUUGUCUCAGCUAGACCAGUCCUGGGCUCUUCACACAUCAGAGUUAGAGAGUUGACAGGGAAUUAAUAGAAGAUAGAACCUGAAAGGCUUAGGAGGGGUAAGACUUGGAGAAAUCUGUUGUCAGUCAAAAAUAAUAAAGUACAGAGGUGUAUGUGAGGAGGUAGGGGAGGGAGUACAGGAAGGGGAAAGAAAUCUAUAUAGUCCAGGUGUAAGUGAGAAAGUUCUUUCAGCAUUUGUCAAACUUGAGUUUGGGAGAGGGUGUGGGAAAUAAAUAACUGAGAAGAGUAAAUGGGAUUGCAGCAUAGAUGAGGAUUCUGAAUUAGGGCCACUCUGUCACCCAGGCUGGAGUACAGUAGUGCGAUCAAAGCUCACUGCAGCCUGGAGCUCCUGGUCUCAAGCAAUCCUCCCACCUCAGCCUUCCAAGUAGCUGGGACUACAGGCAUGUGCCACCAAACUCAGCUAAUUUUUUUUUGCAUUUUUUUGCAG